GGAGAAUGUUAUCACGGGAGACACACGGCGGGUGCUAACGUCCGUCGUGAAGAGGGAAACAACCCAGACCGCCAGCUAAGGUCCCAAAGUCAUGGUUAAGUGGGAAACGAUGUGGGAAGGCCCAGACAGCCAGGAUGUUGGCUUAGAAGCAGCCAUCAUUUAAAGAAAGCGUAAUAGCUCACUGGUCGAGUCGGCCUGCGCGGAAGAUGUAACGGGGCUAAACCAUGCACCGAAGCUGCGGCAGCGACACUGUGUGUUGUUGGGUAGGGGAGCGUUCUGUAAGCCUGUGAAGGUGUGUCGUGAGGCAUGCUGGAGGUAUCAGAAGUGCGAAUGCUGACAUAAGUAACGAUAAAGCGGGUGAAAAGCCCGCUCGCCGGAAGACCAAGGGUUCCUGUCCAACGUUAAUCGGGGCAGGGUGAGUCGACCCCUAAGGCGAGGCCGAAAGGCGUAGUCGAUGGGAAACGGGUUAAUAUUCCCGUACUUGGUGUUACUGCGAAGGGGGGACGGAGAAGGCUAUGUUGGCCGGGCGACGGUUGUCCCGGUUUAAGCGUGUAGGUGUGUGUUCCAGGUAAAUCCGGUUCACUUUAACACUGAGGCGUGACGACGAGGCACUACGGUGCUGAAGCAACAAAUGCCCUGCUUCCAGGAAAAGCCUCUAAGCAUCAGGUAACAUCAAAUCGUACCCCAAACCGACACAGGUGGUCAGGUAGAGAAUACCAAGGCGCUUGAGAGAACUCGGGUGAAGGAACUAGGCAAAAUGGUGCCGUAA
This 769-nucleotide ribosomal RNA is filed under the name Salmonella enterica subsp. enterica serovar Stanley. RNAcentral's name for it is "partial 23S ribosomal RNA". It matches the Rfam family "Bacterial large subunit ribosomal RNA", at positions 964 to 1733 of the family's 2925-position model. Lineage: Bacteria; Pseudomonadati; Pseudomonadota; Gammaproteobacteria; Enterobacterales; Enterobacteriaceae. The record is from RNAcentral.